CGGAUCAGCCUGGAUCACCCGCCGAACUU
This 29-nucleotide ribosomal RNA is filed under the name Acropora formosa. Its description in RNAcentral is "partial 28S ribosomal RNA". Lineage: Eukaryota; Metazoa; Cnidaria; Anthozoa; Scleractinia; Acroporidae. The record is from RNAcentral.